This 244-nucleotide unclassified non-coding RNA is filed under the name uncultured fungus. Its description in RNAcentral is "sequence contains ITS1". The record is from RNAcentral. Lineage: Eukaryota; Fungi.
GUUAUUUUUAAGUUACAUCGGAGCUACCCCGAAUUGAAUGACAUUCAAAAUAGACUUUUGAGCUUGUUAAAGCGAGACAGCGUGCGUUAUACCCACCCGCAGUCCCUUUGAUGCACAGGUGUGUGGGGUUGUGGAUGAAGGGGCGGAACGAGCCCGCACAACGGCGUCUCCGCCUGUGCGAGGCGGGGCCCACCGCCCCCAGUUUGUUUCAUUAAUGAUCCUUCCACAGGUGAACCUGCAGAAA